AAUGAUACUCCUGCCCGGCCUGCGUCACUGCAUAGGGGGUAGCCCUCUCCGAGAGAUGAGGGGGAAAAGUAGGGUUUCGGUUGAGACAGACCGAGACAGGCUUUU
This 105-nucleotide small RNA is filed under the name unclassified sequences. Its description in RNAcentral is "dinG RNA". It matches the Rfam family "dinG RNA". The record is from Rfam by way of RNAcentral.